Molecule: ribosomal RNA, 497 nt
Filed under: uncultured bacterium
Lineage: Bacteria
Description: partial 16S ribosomal RNA
Rfam family: Bacterial small subunit ribosomal RNA
Source: RNAcentral
GAUGAACGCUGGCGGCGUGCCUAAUACAUGCAAGUCGAGCGAACAGAUGAGGAGCUUGCUCCUCUGACGUUAGCGGCGGACGGGUGAGUAACACGUGGAUAACCUACCUAUAAGACUGGGAUAACUUCGGGAAACCGGAGCUAAUACCGGAUAAUUUAUUGAACCGCAUGGUUCAAUAGUUAAAGUCGGUUUUGCUGUCACUUAUAGAUGGAUCCGCGCCGCAUUAGCUAGUUGGUAAGGUAACGGCUUACCAAGGCAACGAUGCGUAGCCGACCUGAGAGGGUGAUCGGCCACACUGGAACUGAGACACGGUCCAGACUCCUACGGGAGGCAGCAGUAGGGAAUCUUCCGCAAUGGGCGAAAGCUGGACGGAGCAACGCCGCGUGAGUGAUGAAGUUCUUCGGAUCGUAAAACUCUGUUAUUAGGGAAGAACAAAUGUGUAAGUAACUAUGCACGUCUUGACGGUACCUAAUCAGAAAGCCACGGCUAACUACGUG